CAAUAGCGUAUAUUAAAGUUGUUGCGGUUAAAAAGCUCGUAGUUGGAUUUCUGUCCGAGGCAGCCGGUCCGCACCUGGUGCGUGUAUCAGGUUUGACUAGGGCAUCCUCUUGGGAACGUUCUGUGCUUCAUUGCAUGGGACGGAAUUCAAGACUUUUACUUUGAGGAAAUUAGAGUGUUCACGGCAAGCUAUCGCUUUGAAUACAUUAGCAUGGAAUAAUAAUAUAGGGCGUAAGUCUUAUUUUGUUGGUUUCUAGGACAUACGCAAUGAUUAAUAGGGACAAUUGGGGCGAUUCGUAUUAAUCGCGCAGAGGUGGAAUUCUUAGAUUGCGUUACGACGAACUACUGCGAAAGCAUUUGCCAAGGAUGUUUUCAUUGAUCAAGAACGAAAGUAUGGGGAUCGAAGACGAUUAGAUACCA
RNAcentral lists this ribosomal RNA (419 nucleotides) under uncultured eukaryote. RNAcentral describes it as "SSU rRNA". It matches the Rfam family "Eukaryotic small subunit ribosomal RNA", at positions 592 to 1017 of the family's 1831-position model. The record is from RNAcentral.